RNAcentral lists this transfer RNA (68 nucleotides) under Ovis aries (sheep). It matches the Rfam family "tRNA". Rfam says of the family: Transfer RNA (tRNA) molecules are approximately 80 nucleotides in length. Their secondary structure includes four short double-helical elements and three loops (D, anti-codon, and T loops). The record is from Rfam by way of RNAcentral. Lineage: Eukaryota; Metazoa; Chordata; Mammalia; Artiodactyla; Bovidae.
UCCCUUGUGGCUCAGAUGGUAAAGUGUCUGCAAUGCAGGAGACCCAGGUUCGAUUCCUGGAUCGGGAA